RNAcentral lists this ribosomal RNA (301 nucleotides) under uncultured bacterium. Its description in RNAcentral is "partial 16S ribosomal RNA". It matches the Rfam family "Bacterial small subunit ribosomal RNA", at positions 509 to 808 of the family's 1533-position model. The record is from RNAcentral.
CAGUAGCCACGGUAAUACGGAGGGGGCAAGCGUUAUCCGGAAUUAUUGGGCGUAAAGGGUACGUAGGUGGCCUUUUAAGCGUAGGGUAUAAGGCAAUGGCUCAACCAUUGUUCGCCCUAUGAACUGGAAGGCUUGAGUGCAGGAGAGGAAAGCGGAAUUCCUAGUGUAGCGGUGGAAUGCAUAGAUAUUAGGAGGAACAUCAGCGGCGAAGGCGGCUUUCUGGACUGCAACUGACACUGAGGUACGAAAGCGUGGGGAGCAAACAGGAUUAGAUACCCCGGUAGUCCCUGUCUCUUAUACC